GGUGAGACGAAAUGCCUGGGGCACUACCAAGUACAUGGAGCUGUACAUCGUGGCUGACAGUACACUGUAUAAACGACAGAAUAAGGACUACCAAAAACCAAGCUGAGGAUAAUGGAGAUUGCCAAUUAUGUUGAUAAGUUCUACAGGGCUCUGAACAUCCGGGUGCCUCUGAUUGGCCUGGAGGUAUGGAAGGAGAGGGAUGAGUGCAUCAUUACAGAAGAACCCAACACCACACUCUGGUCCUUCCUACAGUGGAGACAGAAGCUUAAGUCCCGCAAGAAGCACGACAACGCACAGCUACUGACGUUAGUAAAGAUCACUAACACACACACACGCACGCACACACACACACGCUCUUAACCUGACAGCAAUUAAAUCAAAUAAAAUGAUUAUUUGUCACAUGCGCCGAAUACACAGCCCUUAACCUG
Long non-coding RNA from Oncorhynchus masou masou (cherry salmon), 428 nucleotides. RefSeq lists it as uncharacterized. The record is from RefSeq and is a predicted model, not a curated record. The transcript has 3 exons. Lineage: Eukaryota; Metazoa; Chordata; Actinopteri; Salmoniformes; Salmonidae.